GAUGAACGCUGGCGGCGUGCCUAAUACAUGCAAGUCGAGCGAACAGAUGAGGAGCUUGCUCCUCUGACGUUAGCGGCGGACGGGUGAGUAACACGUGGAUAACCUACCUAUAAGACUGGGAUAACUUCGGGAAACCGGAGCUAAUACCGGAUAAUAUAUUGAACCGCAUGGUUCAAUAGUGAAAGACGGUUUUGCUGUCACUUAUAGAUGUAUCCGCGCCGCAUUAGCUAGUUGGUAAGGUAACGGCUUACCAAGGCAACGAUACGUAGCCGACCUGAGCGGGUGAGCUGCCACACUGGAACUGAGACACGGUCCAGACUCCUACGGGAGGCAGAAGUAGGGAAUCUUCCGCAAUGGGCUAAAGCCUGACGUAGCAACGCCGCGUGAGUGAUGAAGUUCUUCGGAUCGUAAAACUCUGUUAUUAGGGAAGAACAAAUGUGUAAGUAACUAUGCACGUCUUGACGGUACCUUAUCAGAAAGCCACGGCUAACUACGUG
Molecule: ribosomal RNA, 497 nt
Filed under: uncultured bacterium
Lineage: Bacteria
Description: partial 16S ribosomal RNA
Rfam family: Bacterial small subunit ribosomal RNA
Source: RNAcentral